UCUCAAUGUCGUUCUAAGACCGUUGAGCUGGACCGGCUGUGGAGAUAAGAUCUGGCACUUGGACCAACGUCCCCUACAUCUAGAUCGUUCGUUGCUAACGCGUACCACUGUCCAGAUGAUUGAAAACACGGACGUAUUACGCAUGCAUCACAGUUGAAAUUCUAGGUUUUGUUUCGUUUGCUAUUAGGACACGCGCGUUGCCACGGAUGCAGCCGUUUUGCCUAUGUGACUUGCAGGCGAGCUGACGUGGAGACAGUAGUUGAGCUGGCACUGAUAGUGGACGAUCGUUCAAUAUUCACGUUGCAUUUCGUUACCC
This is a long non-coding RNA of Dreissena polymorpha, 316 nucleotides long. RefSeq lists it as uncharacterized. The record is from RefSeq and is a predicted model, not a curated record. The transcript has 3 exons. Lineage: Eukaryota; Metazoa; Mollusca; Bivalvia; Myida; Dreissenidae.